AUCAAGUAGAUAUUCAAGGAAGAACACUCACUGGAACAUAGAUGUACAGAAUCCGCAAAGAUCUGAGCAAAAUAUCCUGACCAGGUUCUGGUAAUUGUGGAAAAGCUCUCAGGCUCUCAGGCUGUUAACACUGACAACCAGAGGAAGUUGGGUCCAGUUGAUGCCACUGUAGCUCAUUUAAUAUGAAUCACCAGGAAAAGGAUUCAGCUUCCUUCUGAAAAGGAGAUCUUCCUGUUUGUGAACAAGACAGUCCCAUAGUCCAGCCUAACUAUGGGACAGCUUUUCAGAAGGAAAAAG
RNAcentral lists this long non-coding RNA (297 nucleotides) under Homo sapiens (human). Its description in RNAcentral is "non-protein coding lnc-TNFRSF11B-3:1". The record is from RNAcentral. Lineage: Eukaryota; Metazoa; Chordata; Mammalia; Primates; Hominidae.